CGUAAUGCGACAGCUGGCGACUCUGCUGGGGACUCGAGAGAAGUUGACCUCUUGCUGGUCCAUCUUCCCUAAGCGAGUCUCUCCUAGCGCUCUCUAGGUUAGGGUUUUGGUUGCUUUUUGCUGUUAUUUAUUGCAUUCAUUUAUUUAUUGUUUGCAUUUAUGUUUGCAUUAAUGUUUGCAUUCAUAUUCAUCUGUUCACCUGGCUGGCUGGUUGUCUGUUUCUCUCUGUUGGGGUGGGAGUUAC
Molecule: long non-coding RNA, 244 nt
Filed under: Lathyrus oleraceus (garden pea)
Lineage: Eukaryota; Viridiplantae; Streptophyta; Magnoliopsida; Fabales; Fabaceae
Description: Pisum sativum (pea) long non-coding RNA (PSAT_LNC033957)
Source: RNAcentral